Molecule: long non-coding RNA, 700 nt
Organism: Populus euphratica (Euphrates poplar)
Lineage: Eukaryota; Viridiplantae; Streptophyta; Magnoliopsida; Malpighiales; Salicaceae
Exons: 2
Source: RefSeq, a predicted model, not a curated record
GCAUGGCAUUUUUAAGUGUAUGUUCUGUAAUUAGAAGUUGCUUGAAGGGCCAAGUUGGGUUUUUAGUCUUGUGCUUUAUUUUUUAUAAAAUAAUAUUGUCUGAAAAUUACAUCGUAUUAUUUCUAUAAUCUCUCUCCAUACAGAGACAAGCAUGGUUUGCUUCUCUCGUCUUUCUCGUCCUGAGGUUGACUUUACAGGUAUUUGAUGCCCUUCAUCUGAUAAUACCAAGGGCAGAUGUCGAGAUCUUUCUUCUUAGAUGUUGAUGAACAGCUGCAAAGAAGAGCAUAAGGAGGCCACUUUCUUGCAGGCUCUGUCGACCGGGCUAUCAGAUCCACACUUGACAAAUUAAGUUUUCUGUUUCACAAGAGUUACUCCAAACUUUCAAGCUAGUGGAGAAGGGUUUCCCUUUCGAUUCCUCCUUGUCUUCUUCUUCUUCUUCUUCUUUUUGUUUUUUUUCAGGAUCUCUGGUGAGCACGUGAUUUCUUAGAUAUAACUUUUCUCCUCACUGUGCACUGGAGGUGGUGAUGCAGUUGAUUUAUAGCAUAUUUAAUUGUCUUGUUCUGUGAGGAAUUGAGAGUUGAUUAGAUCACAAAUGCUUUAAUGCUCCAGCAUAAUAGACGGCUGAAUAUAAUGAAUUUCCUGCAAUGUGCACUUAUAGCAUAAUUGAUGUUUAUUAUAUUGAAGUACUUUUUUUCUGGCA